Molecule: non-coding RNA, 24 nt
Filed under: Arabidopsis thaliana (thale cress)
Lineage: Eukaryota; Viridiplantae; Streptophyta; Magnoliopsida; Brassicales; Brassicaceae
Source: RNAcentral
GUAAAACGGUGCAACGACGGCGAG